Vicia faba (fava bean) is the source of this 279-nucleotide non-coding RNA. Lineage: Eukaryota; Viridiplantae; Streptophyta; Magnoliopsida; Fabales; Fabaceae. The record is from the annotation of a GenBank genome assembly.
AUGUUAGCUGAAGCCUUAUUCGAGGUUCUGGAUGAAAUUCACCAGCAAUCAGUGGUUUUAUCUUCCCACCUUUCUGUAUCUUCUAUCGGAUCUGUUCCCUCGCCUGCUGAAGUUGCCGAAUCCUUACCUGUUAAAAUAUACACAAAGUCACACAAACAUCAAGAAGAACUCAGCAGGCAAUUUAGAACUAGUGGUAGUUACCCUGAAAACGUUGACUCCCAUAUUCGUCUCAAUAACGAAUCCGAUUCUCGUAUAUGUUCAUCUCUUUCAUAUCCAUGA